AUGCAGUUGGUACGGUCGGGGAAAACUGCGAUUAACAUUAACGGUGAUGUGGGGCCAUUCUUCUCAUCCUCUGCGGAAGUGAAGCAAGGGGAUCCGAUAUCCCCCCUGCUCUUCAAUCUCGCCGUCGACGCUCUGGCAGGCAUUCUGGACAGAGCUAGGCGGGCCGGCCACCUCUCGGGAGUUGUUAGUCACCUCAUUCCGGGAGGAGGGGUCACUCAUCUUGUUGGAGAUAUGCCCUAG
This 240-nucleotide ribosomal RNA is filed under the name Triticum aestivum (bread wheat). Its description in RNAcentral is "partial small subunit ribosomal RNA". The record is from RNAcentral. Lineage: Eukaryota; Viridiplantae; Streptophyta; Magnoliopsida; Poales; Poaceae.